RNAcentral lists this ribosomal RNA (301 nucleotides) under uncultured bacterium. Its description in RNAcentral is "partial 16S ribosomal RNA". It matches the Rfam family "Bacterial small subunit ribosomal RNA", at positions 509 to 807 of the family's 1533-position model. The record is from RNAcentral.
CAGCCGCCGCGGGAAUACGUAGGUGGCAAGCGUUGUCCGGAAUUAUUGGGAGUAAAGGGCUCGCAGGCGGUUUCUUAAGUUUGAUGUGAAAACCCCCGGCUCAACCGGGGAGGGUCAUUGGAAACUGGGAAACUUGAGUGCAGAAGAGGAGAGUGGAAUUCCACGUGUAGCGGUGAAAUGCGUAGAGAUGUGGAGGAACACCAGUGGCGAAGGCGACUCUCUGGUCUGUAACUGACGCUGAGGAGCGAAAGCGUGGGGAGCGAACAGGAUUAGAUACCCCCGUAGUCCCUGUCUCUUAUAC